This 372-nucleotide ribosomal RNA is filed under the name uncultured organism. RNAcentral's name for it is "partial 16S ribosomal RNA". It matches the Rfam family "Bacterial small subunit ribosomal RNA", at positions 527 to 896 of the family's 1533-position model. The record is from RNAcentral.
GUAGGUGGCAAGCGUUGUCCGGAAUUAUUGGGCGUAAAGCGCGCGCAGGCGGUUCUUUAAGUCUGAUGUGAAAGCCCACGGCUCAACCGUGGAGGGUCAUUGGAAACUGGAGAACUUGAGUACAGAAGAGGAAAGCGGAAUUCCACGUGUAGCGGUGAAAUGCGUAGAGAUGUGGAGGAACACCAGUGGCGAAGGCGGCUUUCUGGUCUGUAACUGACGCUGAGGCGCGAAAGCGUGGGGAGCAAACAGGAUUAGAUACCCUGGUAGUCCACGCCGUAAACGAUGAGUGCUAAGUGUUAGGGGGUUUCCGCCCCCCUUAGUGCUGCAGCUAACGCAUUAGGCACUCCGCCUGGGAGUACGGCCGCAAGGCUG